This 238-nucleotide ribosomal RNA is filed under the name uncultured soil bacterium. RNAcentral describes it as "partial 16S ribosomal RNA". It matches the Rfam family "Bacterial small subunit ribosomal RNA", at positions 26 to 266 of the family's 1533-position model. The record is from RNAcentral.
AGAUUGAACGCUGGCGGCAGGCCUAACACAUGCAAGUCGAGCGGCAGCACGGGUACUUGUACCUGGUGGCGAGCGGCGGACGGGUGAGUAAUGCCUAGGAAUCUGCCUGAUAGUGGGGGAUAACGCUCGGAAACGGACGCUAAUACCGCAUACGUCCUACGGGAGAAAGCAGGGGACCUUCGGGCCUUGCGCUAUCAGAUGAGCCUAGGUCGAUUAGCUAGUUGGUGGGUAAUGGCUC